Long non-coding RNA from Herpailurus yagouaroundi (jaguarundi), 944 nucleotides. RefSeq lists it as uncharacterized. The record is from RefSeq and is a predicted model, not a curated record. The transcript is spliced from 2 exons. Lineage: Eukaryota; Metazoa; Chordata; Mammalia; Carnivora; Felidae.
CACAUCUGGAUGCUUUGUACAUUCAGAGCCCUCUGUUAGGCUCUUUGCUGCCCGUUAGCACCACGGCUCCAGGAUGCCCGUGCCUUGGUGGUUUUCCCUCACCUCUCUAAGCGGAGCAGCUGAUGUCCUCCCUUCUUCCCUCCCUUCCUUCCUUUCUUCCCUACCAUCGCUUAGCCAACAUCGUUGUCUAUCAUGAGCCACUUGCACCUUGCCGUGGAUGUAGGGCUCUGUGAAUUGCUAAAGGAAAGGGAGAUCUGGGGACAGAAAUGACAGCCCAUGUCGAGGGGAAUGGCCACCCACUCGCCAAAUAUAUGCAACACUAAGCCGCCAAUUAUGGGGACCAGGACGAAUUUUGGUCGCUAUAUUAAAAUCUGCGAGGGGUCCAUUACAUGCACUCACUCUAUCAGGCUGGUUUGUGGGAGGUGCUGUACAUUUUAUAUCUAUGAGCACAUUCAGUCGCUAGAAAAUUAAUUAUUCUGUUACAAGUGAGAAGGUAAUCGGAGCUAAGGGAAGUUUGCAAUCAGAAUUACUUUUCAGUGAGUCAGCGGGAGUCCGAUGGGGGUGAAAGAAACAACAGGUUGCAAUGUUCAGCUCUUCUACAAUCUGAGGAUGUGCUGCAGACAGUUAACGGUCACUAACCCUCAUUAUUCCAUUCGUUCAUUCAGGAAGUAUUCGCCGGGGUGUUUCUUUUGCGUCAGGGCAUAGUAUAUGCAUCACAGGUACCACGAUGCUUUUCCUAUCGUGAGGAGUUAAUGACAGGAACACUAAGUGUUUACAGAUGCUGAAAACUGAGGUCCCAACAUCAGAGAAAACAUAAGAAGCCACACAACAAGGGAAGAGCUGCCAGUGUGUGUGUUUGUGAGUCCCUGGAUUGUAGUCCAGGCUAUUAGACUUUUAACCCUGAACUUAGUAUACAUUUCAGUAAUUAAAGAGCAAGUCACGUC